AGGACGAACGCUGGCGGCGUGCUUAACACAUGCAAGUCGAGCGAGGCCCCUUCCUUCGGGAGGGGAGCCCUAGCGGCGAACGGGUGAGUAACACGUGGGCAAUCUGCCCCUAGCACUGGGAUAACUCCGGGAAACCGGGGCUAAUACCGGAUAUGACCUCCGAGGGCAUCCUCUGGAGGUGGAAAGGAUUCUGGCUAGGGAUGAGCCCGCGGCCUAUCAGCUAGUUGGUGGGGUAAUGGCCCACUAAGGCGACG
RNAcentral lists this ribosomal RNA (254 nucleotides) under uncultured bacterium. RNAcentral describes it as "partial small subunit ribosomal RNA". It matches the Rfam family "Bacterial small subunit ribosomal RNA", at positions 26 to 278 of the family's 1533-position model. The record is from RNAcentral.